This 343-nucleotide unclassified non-coding RNA is filed under the name soil metagenome. RNAcentral's name for it is "partial contains 5.8S ribosomal RNA, internal transcribed spacer 2, and large subunit ribosomal RNA". The stretch from base 1 to 120 matches the Rfam family "5.8S ribosomal RNA", at positions 35 to 154 of the family's 154-position model. The record is from RNAcentral.
GAUGAAGAACGUAGCGAAAUGCGAUAAGUAAUGUGAAUUGCAGAAUUCAGUGAAUCAUCGAAUCUUUGAACGCACAUUGCGCCCGCCAGCAUUCUGGCGGGCAUGCCUGUUCGAGCGUCAUUUCAACCCUCGAGCCCCCCCGGGGGCCUCGGUGUUGGGGGACGGCACACCAGCCGCCCCCGAAAUGCAGUGGCGACCCCGCCGCAGCCUCCCCUGCGUAGUAGCACACACCUCGCACCGGAGCGCGGAGGCGGUCACGCCGUAAAAUGCCCAACUUUCUUAGAGUUGACCUCGGAUCAGGUAGGAAUACCCGCUGAACUUAAGCAUAUCAAUAAGCGGAGGA